Molecule: microRNA, 21 nt
Filed under: Python bivittatus (Burmese python)
Lineage: Eukaryota; Metazoa; Chordata; Lepidosauria; Squamata; Pythonidae
Description: pbv-miR-737-5p
Gene: pbv-miR-737-5p
Source: miRBase by way of RNAcentral
GUUUUCUUAGGUUUUGAUUUU